AUACCAUGAUGAGGACAAGCUCUCGUGUAUCCUUUCAUACGCUCUCAUGCAUCAUACAAACUCUCCUCUUUGCCUUACUCAAAUCUAGCUAUAUUGUUUCUUAUCUU
Small nucleolar RNA from Arabis alpina (gray rockcress), 107 nucleotides. It matches the Rfam family "Plant small nucleolar RNA R71". From Rfam's summary of the family: R71 is a member of the C/D box family of snoRNAs containing the C (UGAUGA) and D (CUGA) box motifs. Multiple nearly identical copies of this snoRNA have been identified in Arabidopsis, and it is thought to function as a 2'-O-ribose methylation guide for 18S ribosomal RNA. Lineage: Eukaryota; Viridiplantae; Streptophyta; Magnoliopsida; Brassicales; Brassicaceae. The record is from Rfam.